This 74-nucleotide transfer RNA is filed under the name Thermobifida fusca. Its description in RNAcentral is "tRNA-Gly". It matches the Rfam family "tRNA". Rfam says of the family: Transfer RNA (tRNA) molecules are approximately 80 nucleotides in length. Their secondary structure includes four short double-helical elements and three loops (D, anti-codon, and T loops). The record is from RNAcentral. Lineage: Bacteria; Bacillati; Actinomycetota; Actinomycetes; Streptosporangiales; Nocardiopsidaceae. RNAcentral also lists the same sequence under 3 other names.
GCGGAUGUAGUUCAAUGGUAGAACCUCAGCUUCCCAAGCUGAAGACGCGGGUUCGAUUCCCGUCAUCCGCUCCA